UCCGUAGACGCCUCAUCUCCCCUCAGUUGGUCGGCGUUGCGGCGGGUGAGGGGUAAGCGAGGAGGAAAGGCCCUUCGCCGCCGCCGUAGCUGCCUCAGGCAGGACUCGGCAAUGGCCACCGGGCUCCUCCUCAGCCUCUUCGCUCACCACCUCGGCCUGCUUGGGCACUGCCAUGGCGACGGGCUCCUCAGCGGCCCCCUCGCGACCCGUGUUGGUGGCGGCCGCCGUGUCCGGAUCCUCCUCCUGCGGCGGCGGCGGCCUUUCUCGCCUGGCGGGGACCCGAGUCGGGAGCGGCAGUGGCGCAGCCGGCAGCAGCGGCACCAAAAAGAGGCCGUUUGUGACCCCGCUUUGCAACGGCCUUCUGAAUUCCUACGAGGACAAAAGCAACGAUUUCGUCUGAAAGACGGUAGAAAUGUCAAAACUGCUGACAGAAAAAGAGGAGCUGGAAUCAAAGAUUCAGGAGCUUAUAAAUAAAAACCUCCAAAGAAAAAGUGGAACUCUGCGAAGAGUAGGAAGAAAAGCUGAGCAGCUGAGAAAAUUUAGAUAGCAACCCUGACUUUCUCUUCCUUUCUUGGCUAUUUCACAUCACAGAGAAUUUAUGGAAAACAAAUGCAUGUAAUUCUUAUGACCACGAAAUGAAGAAAAGCAAAAAUCUACAAUUCGUUUUCAAUCUUCACAGAACUUCCAGGUUUCGAGGCAUCCAGAAAAUAUAAUGCACGUGGGCCAGGAUUUAAGUUUAAAGAUACAUUCCCAUCAGAAAAAAUAGUUCCGAGGAGCCUGGGCAACUGGAGAAACUCAGACAAGAUAAUGAGAGACUCAGCUGUAAGGCUCAGAAACACUCUGGAGAAAAAGCAGAGCUCGUACAAGAAAAUAAUGACCUUAAAGAAGAACUUUAUAGAAAGAUAGCAGUAGAAUCCAAACUGACAGUAGAAAAUGAAGAGCUCCGAAACAACGAGUUGCUGACAUUCAAAAACAUUGAAGUAACGGAUGAGAGAGUACGAAGAAAUACUGUGCAGAAACAACUGAGGAAGGGCUGCUGCACCUUGUUGAUGGACAGAGACCUAGUGCAAAAGAGGCUCUGUGAGUGUUUGCCAAACAAGGACAGCCAUUACAGAAGACAAAAUGACAAAAUGAAGCCUCAAAUGGUGGAAUAUCAAUUAAACGAGAAAUGGCUUAAAGUUUCAGUAGACAGCCUGAAAAUAAAAUAAAAAAAACACUUAAGGAACCCGGGCUAAA
Molecule: long non-coding RNA, 1236 nt
Organism: Thamnophis elegans (Western terrestrial garter snake)
Lineage: Eukaryota; Metazoa; Chordata; Lepidosauria; Squamata; Natricidae
Exons: 5
Source: RefSeq, a predicted model, not a curated record